CUUGUUGGUGAGGUAACGGCUCACCAAGGCUUCGACGGGUAGCCGGCCUGAGAGGGCGACCGGCCACACUGGGACUGAGAUACGGCCCAGACUCCUACGGGAGGCAGCAGUGGGGAAUAUUGCACAAUGGGCGCAAGCCUGAUGCAGCAACGCCGCGUGCGGGAUGACGGCCUUCGGGUUGUAAACCGCUUUCAGUUCCGACGAAGCGCAAGUGACGGUAGGAACAGAAGAAGGACCGGCCAACUACGUGCCAGCAGCCGCGGUGAUACGUAGGGUCCGAGCGUUGUCCGGAAUUAUUGGGCGUAAAGGGCUUGUAGGCGGUUUGUCACGUCGGAAGUGAAAACUCAGGGCUUAACCCUGAGCCUGCUUCCGAUACGGGCAAACUAGAGGAAUGCAGGGGAGAAUGGAAUUCCUGGUGGAGCGGUGGAAUGCGCAGAUAUCAGGAGGAACACCGGUGGCGAAGGCGGUUCUCUGGGCAUUUCCUGACGCUGAGAAGCGAAAGCGUGGGGAGCAAACAGGCUUAGAUACCCUGGUAGUCCACGCCGUAAACGGUGGGCACUAGGUGUGGGGAACAUUCCACGUUCUCCGUGCCGAAGCUAACGCAUUAAGUGCCCCGCCUGGGGAGUACGGCCGCAAGGCUAAAACUCAAAGGAAUUGACG
RNAcentral lists this ribosomal RNA (660 nucleotides) under uncultured Actinomycetes bacterium. Its description in RNAcentral is "SSU rRNA". It matches the Rfam family "Bacterial small subunit ribosomal RNA", at positions 245 to 915 of the family's 1533-position model. Lineage: Bacteria; Bacillati; Actinomycetota; Actinomycetes. The record is from RNAcentral.